Cebus imitator (Panamanian white-faced capuchin) is the source of this 3562-nucleotide long non-coding RNA. RefSeq lists it as uncharacterized. The transcript is spliced from 4 exons. Lineage: Eukaryota; Metazoa; Chordata; Mammalia; Primates; Cebidae. The record is from RefSeq and is a predicted model, not a curated record.
GCCUCCCAAAGUGCUGGGAUUAUAGGUGUGGGCCACCAUGCCCAGGCUGUUAUAACUAAUUAUUCUCCUCUUUGUCUUAGGGAUAUAUUUAAUGCCACAUAAUCUUCAAUGCUUAAGGGAUGUCCCCGAAGAGGAUGAAAGAACGGACAGAGAAGUAAAUAAUGGGACAGGAAGAAGAAACAGUGAGAACAGGAGGGCAGUGGGCAGGAGGAAAUGAAGAGAGGAAGAAAACGAGGCCAAAGUAGGGGAGAGAGGGGGCAGCUGGUGCCUGAGCUGUCCAUGUCCCUGGCUUGCAGACAACAUUCCCAAGGAAGCCGUGUUCCUGUUGCUCAUUAGUUCCCUGGUCAACUGGCCCGUUGUCAGGCUCUUGCCUGUAGCCAGUUGAGUGUCCUCUAACUGGGAGCAGCUGAAACUUAAAGGGUUUUACAUUGUGUAUUGUUUCCAGAGCUCCCUUUUUCCUGUGGCUUCUGUUUUUCUUAUUAAAUGCUGCUGCUGAUUUUGCAGCUGAAAGACAGACAGAAAGACUACUGAAGAAGGCCUUGCAACCCCUAACGCUUCAGGGAAGCAGUGGGUCUCUACGCUGGAGAUGCUUUCUGGCUGCAUAGUUUACAAACGAACUGGCAAGGCAAGCUGGACCUUUCAUCCAAGAGUGCAGAUUAAUGUUGCCUCUGAGUGUUUGAAGGAGCCACGAGGUCUGACUUAUGCACCGCCCUUUCUUCCUGGCAGAAGCUGAUGGGCCUGUUUCUGCUGUUAUAUCUGGGGAGCUUCCCACCAGGAAGGGACAAGCUUGUUGUAAAAAACUUGGUGAGUUUAUGUCCGGUCGGCAGUCGCAAGGAAUACUGGACCACUCGGAUGCUCUGGGAUCCCUACAUCUUUCCAUUGCUUCCUGAGCCAGAGAGUAUAAGAGGACAGGAAAUAAUUCACUCUUCUCUGCUGAAGUCCAGAAGCUGCAAUGGGGUAACAGCCAGAACAGGGGGGCUGGCCUAGAGGCUUGGAUUUCCUGCUUAUGAGUGCACCCCGCGAAUAUCCAGAACUCCGUGGGCCUCCCAGGGUUGAAGCAACAAGCCACAGGUCCAGGACUUGGCUUUAGGACCCCUUGGUCCCAGCAGUGGCUGUUUGUCCACCCAUAUAUUUGUUACUCAGCAUCACUGUGGCCAUUGCUGACUGAUACAUAGGAGGUACUCAAAAGUCACUGACCAAGGAAGCUGGGUGAGCUCACCUCCUCCUCAUCACCUUUUCUCCUUUCCAUGCCGUACUUGGUGGGAGUCUUCAUGGACCAUGGUUCUGCACGAGGUGAUGUUGUGUUUGCAGAGGGUUUUUUUUUUUUUUUGCCCUUGAAGAGCACUUACGUCUGGAGAGCAAGACACAUGCUGAUGAGCAGGAGCUGACGGGCUUGCUGCCACGUGAGAAAGUCCUCGGAUGAGCUGUCUGGCUGCGGGGAGGUGUCUGCGGCUCAGACAUGGAGGAUCCAGUGGAGGAUGCUGGGACAGAGCCACAACAUGGAAGAAGCCUGGGCCCCUGAACCACCAUACUGAAGAGCAUCCUAUGCCAGCAUGAAUGGGAUACACCUUUCCCUGUGUUAAGCCACUUCAAUUUUGAGAUUGUUAUUGGGGCAGCAAGGACUACAGCAGCUGUUGUAGAGAGAUGAUAGAAGCCUGAAUUAGGCUAGGUGGUAACAGCUCAUCUCUGCUCCACUUGGCCUCAGUCGGGGUAACGUGGUGGCUGACAGCUGGAGCCACCUGAAGUCAUGCACACUGUGGGCCCGAGAGUUCACUGAGGCUCAGGCCAAAUGGAUGGCGACAGCCCUGGGAAUGGUAGAAGGCAGGGAGACAAAGGCCAUCAGAAGUGGCUGUGACUCCAGUCUCAUCCCAUUGGCUAAAGCAAGCCAUGGGCUGAGCCCUUCACUGGGGAAGGGAAAAAAACACUGUCUGUUCUCACGAUGGGCACUGCCAAGUCACUGCAAAGGGUGGGUAUGUGCCUGAAGCCCACAGGUGCCCUUGAUGGACCAGAGUGGCAAAGAUGCCCCAUUUCCAUUAAAAAAUGCCAUAUUUAUGCACUGCAGCAAAGCCGACAGUCCCAGCAGAUGAGGCUACAUCAAGGGCAUUUCAGUGAGAGCGGUGGGGACGGCAGGGAGCCAUAAUUCAAUCUGCCAUAAGGGGUGCUGUGGGCAUGCAUUACUUUCCUCCACCUGGUAGACACAGACACAAAGACAAAUUACAGGGGACACUGCAGACAACAAAGGCAAAAUCCCCAAAUCCCUCAUCUCUAGACGUUUACACCUUGAAGUGUUGGAGUUGAUCUUUGGCAAAAGCCCCAGCUUACUUCACCAACUAGAAACACAUGAGCUAAAAAUGAAUGUCCUCUGCUGAAGCAUCAUUUUGAAAAAGUCUAGAACUAACUAUCCGCCUACCUCUUCAAAGCUUACCUGGGGUCCCCUUUCCUGACUUCAGCGCUGGUAACGGCUGAGCUCUCCCUUCCCCAGCGAGGACCUGGUGAGUCCCUGGUUGCCUUUGCUGCUGUGCAGAAACAGUGGGGUAUUGUUUUGAGGGAAAUGGAGCAUCUUUGUCGCUCUGGUCCAUCCGCUACAGCCCUGGUUUUGACCUAUGGUCUGGCCAUUUGGGGCGCUGCAAGGUUGAGGAGGGGCUCAAAAUAAUGCUAUCUGUGUCUUGGCCCACCACACUGGGCUGUUGUGUGAGACACUUGGAGCAAAGUGGAAAGGCAGGGUGCAGAGCCUGGGGGCUGCCCAGAGGGCGGGGAAGCUGGCCCAGCUUUGGGCUCCCUGAAAUCCUCAGACUGUUUUUCAAACAGUUGGGGGACUGCUUAACACCCACAGUCAGUUUUUCCAAGUUCUACUUUUUUCCCAUUGAUUUAACCCUAUGUGUAGCUCGGUGGAAAUUUCGCCUUUGCAUGGGCCUGAAUGUGCACGUGCCUGAGUGCACUUGUGCAUUUAUGCACGUGGGUGUGCAUGCCUGUGUGAGUGCACACAUGUGUUAGUAUGGUCUGCACACACAUAGGAGAAUGGUGCAGAGAACAGGAACAUGAAAAUUGGACACCUAGUCUACAAAAAUUACUGACAAUAAAUUCAUCACAAUUUCUCUCACCCACUGGUACCCAAGAAGGGUAAGUUGGAAUCACUUUUUAAAGUUGACAUUAUCAUUCCAUGGUGAAGAGGAGGGUUACGGAUCGAACUACGCUCCUGCUCAUUCAUACACCAAAGUGCUAAUCCCCAGCACCUCAGAAUAUGACCUCAAGUGGAAAGAAGGUUGUUGCAGAUGUCAUUAGUUAAGGUCAUACUGGAGUAGCGGGGCCCCUAGUCCAGUAUAUCAGUUUCAUUGUAAAAGGGAGAAACUGGAACAGAGACGCCCACACAGGGAGACCCCGUUGGAAGACUGAAUUCUGCUGUCACCAGCCAAGGAAGUACCAGGAGCUGGAGAGAGGUGUGGGACAGACCUUUCCCUGGGGCCCUCAAAGGGAGCGUGGCCCCACUGGCAUGUGGAUCUCAGAUGUGGAGCCUCCAGAACUGUGAGAUGAUAAAUUGCUGCUGCUCAAGCCAUGCCGUGCA